GUAAAGUUAGUUUAAUAUAAAAUAGUAGAUUGUGGGUUUAUAGAUAAAUUUUUUUUGAUUUACU
This 64-nucleotide transfer RNA is filed under the name Histioteuthis bonnellii (umbrella squid). RNAcentral's name for it is "tRNA-His". Lineage: Eukaryota; Metazoa; Mollusca; Cephalopoda; Oegopsida; Histioteuthidae. The record is from RNAcentral.